GAUGAAGAACGUAGCGAAACGCGAUAGUUAAUGUGAAUUGCAGAAUUCAGUGAAUCAUCGAGUCUUUGAACGCACAUUGCGCCCAUUGGUAUUCCGUUGGGCAUGUCUGUUUGAGCGUCAUUACAACAGUUCAGCGUAAGCUGGUUAUGAGUUCUGUUUUUUUAAACAAAAAACAGGCUUUAAAAUGUAUGUUCUGCAGGUCGCUUUGCUAAACCCUAAACAUUAAAUACUGUUCUAGUGAAGCAUUUGCGACUCUGCCUGAAAAAAAACUUUUGUUAAAGUUUGACCUCAGAUCAGACAAGGAUACCCGCUGAACUUAAGCAUAUCAAUAAGCGGAGGA
Molecule: unclassified non-coding RNA, 340 nt
Filed under: soil metagenome
Description: partial contains 5.8S ribosomal RNA, internal transcribed spacer 2, and large subunit ribosomal RNA
Rfam family: 5.8S ribosomal RNA (bases 1-120)
Source: RNAcentral